Non-coding RNA from Trichonephila clavata, 75 nucleotides. The record is from the annotation of a GenBank genome assembly. NCBI's taxonomy places the organism in Eukaryota, Metazoa, Arthropoda, Arachnida, Araneae, Nephilidae.
GUCCCUGUAGUGCAAUGGAUAGCACAUUGGACUUCUAAUCCAAAGGUUGUGGGUUUAAGAACCGUACCAGAGAUG